Ribosomal RNA from Capra hircus (goat), 117 nucleotides. The record is from Ensembl. Lineage: Eukaryota; Metazoa; Chordata; Mammalia; Artiodactyla; Bovidae.
GUCUAUGGCCAUACCACCCUGAACGUGCCUGAUCUCAUCUGAUUUCUGAAGCUAAGCAGGUUUGGGCUGCUUACUAUGUGGAUGGAAACAUGAUGAUUGUGUGAUCCUCCACACUCU